UUGUUGUUGUUGUUGCUAUUUCUUGGGCCGCUCCCGCGGCAUAUGGAGGUUCCCAGGCUAGGGGUUGAAUUGGAGCUGUAGCCACCGGCCUACGCCAGAGCUACAGCAACGCGGGAUCCGAGCCGCGUCUGCAACCUACACCACAGCUCACGGCAACGCCGGAUCGUUAACCCACAAGCAAGGCCAGGGACCGAACCCGCAACCUCAUGGUUCCUAGUCGGAUUCGUUAACCACUGCGCCAUGACGGGAACUCCUGAGAUGAAUUUUCUAAAACUUAUGUUUACAUUCAGAAACCAGCGUUAUCUACUCGCUGGUCACAAUGUUUCAUAUUCCAUCCACGUGAAAAUACACUGAACCUUACCAGUUCUCCCAUGAGUCUCAACCGUUAGUGUGUCAGGCUCAGGCUCAAGUCCCAGAUUUUACCAUCUUCAUCAGGUACAGAGAGGGACGAGUCAACUUGGUGUGGUUUCUAGAGUUUAUCCCCUUGAGUGCAGUCCUCUCACCAUGAAGACUUGGGAACUAAAGGGUCACGUUAUCUACCACCCCCACACCCAACAUUCUGGUAAGCUGCUCAAGGCUCUCCCAUUACGAAAUGGAAACGGAGAGGCACAGUGGACUACAGCAGUUCUGAAAUACAGCCUGGUACCUGCUCUUUGAUUAGGACUUGGGAGCGAUUCUCCUUUGCUCUACCCUCUGGGCUCUUAGUUCUGUCCUUUUCAUGAGCAGUGACCUGGGUUUGUAGCUAAGUAGUUUUCGCAGGCAACUUCCUCCGCGUAGAAUUGCUAAGGAAAACCUUUUGAAGUCCUCUUCACAUUUUGUAAGGUCUUGGUCUCUUUUAGUCCAACUGUGGUAGCAGUGUUUUUGUUUCCACAGCUCUCUUUAUAACUUUGAGUUUCCUGUGAAUUUUAUUGGGGUUCAUUCCUUCAAAAAAGCUACCGUCACAAGAAUCUUUUUGAGAUAACUCUUCACCUUGGGCUUCCUGUGAAGUUGUCACGAGAAGAUACCUUUCAAAUGCUUAUGCUUUUAAGAUCCUAAAAGAAGGAAUUUGAGGUAGACCUUCAAUCUUCCAAGGUCUUAAUAAAGUGUUUUACAGACUUGGCUUCAUCUUUAGGUCAUGUGUUCCUGGGAGCACCCUAGAUGUGCUCUUAGCCCAGAAGCCAUUUCUCUAUUUUAGUUUUGCUUGACAGGUGGACAUGUGGAGGUGCUAUCAAUGG
Molecule: long non-coding RNA, 1214 nt
Filed under: Sus scrofa (pig)
Lineage: Eukaryota; Metazoa; Chordata; Mammalia; Artiodactyla; Suidae
Description: lncRNA (ENSSSCG00005041815.1)
Source: RNAcentral